UGCAGCAUGGCGCAAUGGCUAACGCUUUUGCCCUCCACCAGACAGGUCCCGGGUUCAAUUCCACAUGGUGCUA
Molecule: non-coding RNA, 73 nt
Organism: Caenorhabditis brenneri
Lineage: Eukaryota; Metazoa; Nematoda; Chromadorea; Rhabditida; Rhabditidae
Source: the annotation of a GenBank genome assembly